AACGAACGCUGGCGGCAUGCCUAACACAUGCAAGUCCAACGAGACCUUCGGGUCUAGUGGCGCACGGGUGCGUAACGCGUGGGAACCUGCCCUUAGGUUCGGAAUAACUCCCCGAAAGGGGUGCUAAUACCGGAUAAUGUCUUCGGACCAAAGAUUUAUCGCCUUUGGAUGGGCCCGCGUUGGAUUAGCUAGUUGGUAGGGUAAAAGCCUACCAAGGCGACGAUCCAUAGCUGGUCUGAGAGGAUGAUCAGCCACACUGGGACUGAGACACGGCCCAGACUCCUACGGGAGGCAGCAGUGGGGAAUAUUGGACAAUGGGUGAAAGCCUGAUCCAGCAAUGCCGCGUGAGUGAUGAAGGCCUUAGGGUUGUAAAGCUCUUUUACCCGGGAUGAUAAUGACAGUACCGGGAGAAUAAGCUCCGGCUAACUCCGUG
RNAcentral lists this ribosomal RNA (433 nucleotides) under uncultured bacterium. RNAcentral's name for it is "partial 16S ribosomal RNA". It matches the Rfam family "Bacterial small subunit ribosomal RNA", at positions 29 to 507 of the family's 1533-position model. The record is from RNAcentral.